RNAcentral lists this long non-coding RNA (802 nucleotides) under Salvia miltiorrhiza (redroot sage). RNAcentral describes it as "long non-coding RNA (SMIL_LNC005603)". Lineage: Eukaryota; Viridiplantae; Streptophyta; Magnoliopsida; Lamiales; Lamiaceae. The record is from RNAcentral.
UUUAAUUACGAAUUCUAGUCAGAGUCUUAAGCAUAAUAUUCAUAAAACUAAGCACAGCAAUAUCACGCACAGAGAAAGAGAAAGAAAAUUGAAAUUACUCAGCAGGGGAAGACAUGAUGAAUCUAGAAAACGAGUUCGAUCGAAAUCAAGCUAAACAUAAAACUAACCUCAAGGAGCAGCGGCUAAGUCGAGAACAGACCGGAAGAGCAAUGCACGUGCUGCCGUACAGCAAGGUAAACCAGAGCAGCGUGGCGGCGACCGGAGAAAACUUCACAGCAGCGUCGUUUCUGGAGUACAGCAGCAGCUCAAAGCAGCGGCGAAGUAUGGCGCUAAGGGGAUCAGAAAAACACUCAGAGUAGCGUCGUUUUUCGUUGCUUGCUGACCGGCGGAGAUUGUGGCGGCGGCGGCGGCGAGGAAACCUACGAUUUUAUGAUUGGAGAGAGGCGACAGAGGACGUGGUUCGUGGCUGCGUUGACUGUUGAUACGACGGCGGCGGCGCAAGGAACGAGUGGCGUUGGUCGGGGUGAGUCGGCGCCGGAGAGAUCGUAGGCGGCAGAUUUGGGAAGAAGAAGAUAGGUGGCAGAUUUGGGAAGAAGGUGGUAGGCGCGGCGCAUUUGGGGUUAAUUAGGGCUAAUGUGUUUGAACGAUCAAACUGAAUUCUUCUCUUUUCAAUUUUUUCUUUUUUUUUAAAUUCUGAAUAAGCCUUUAAAACCGGUUUAAAAACGGUUUAAUAUGUUUAAUUAAAACCGGUGUCAUAAUGUAACUACGACACCGCAAUAAAGAAACCGGUAAUGAAAAACCG